CUUCUCAUUUAUUUGCUGUAUUUUCUUGGUGAUAGGAAGUUGUAUGCAUGGGAUGGAAUCAUGUAGGGCCACUGUAAACUGAGUUGAAGUAAUUGGUUUAUCUCUGCUGCAAGGUGUGGAUGUUG
RNAcentral lists this small nucleolar RNA (125 nucleotides) under Octodon degus (degu). Its description in RNAcentral is "Small nucleolar RNA SNORA20 (ENSODEG00000022566.1)". Lineage: Eukaryota; Metazoa; Chordata; Mammalia; Rodentia; Octodontidae. The record is from RNAcentral.